GUGGAGACUGGCUGGCUGGAUGUGGUUUGGUCAUGGCUUGUUGAAGUUGGGAAGCAAGGUCUCCAGACUCUAGAGAGUGGUCCAUCAGGGAGGGGGCAGUGAGUGGGGGGUUGAGACCAGACUUCAGGCUCCAUGGCUUAUAGUGAUAGGGUGCUGGGCAAAGAGUUGCUGAUUCAUCCCUCUGUCACACCAGCUCCCAUUUAGGGGAAUAAAUUAGAGCUGGCUGGAGGUAACCUGGCUCUAAUUGGGGAAGCAGAGAUAGCUGCCACUAAUUAGCCUGGGGCUGUAUAAAGCCUCAGAGGAAGGAAGCCAGGGGGAGCAGAAGCAAGGAGAUAGCUCUUUCCCCCUACCUGCAGAUGGUGAAGGGCCAACUAUACAUGCUGAAAUGGUGGUGGAAACAAACCUGUGAAUAAAACUGCACUAGUGGUUACUAUUCCCAGGGUCUUAGACUGACUUUGUGGACCUAGCAGAGAUAGGAGCCAAGGGGUCCCUGCUGUGCACUGCUACACUUAUGAAGAGGAAGCCUGAACUGGGAAACCCACUGAAGCCAUGGAACGGGCACUCAGCCAAGCAAUUCCAAAUCGCGAUUAAACUCCAUAGCAGCUGAGCAACGGAAACCUCCAGUGAUAUGAAACUGUUUCCUGCUAAAUAGGAGUCUGAACCUGCCAGGUGCUGAGAGCUCUCAACUCCCACGGAAGGGAAUGAUACUCGGAACCUGGAUACCGUGACGACCGAGCUAUGGCUGAGUCCAAAAGUCAUGCUAAUGUGGUGAAGCAUAGCAAUGAAUGAAGUGACUGAAAGGCAGGAAUUGAGGACUGUUGCAGAAAGUCAAAUGCAUUUCCGUCGUUGUGGCAAGACAACCUCUUCGUUGGAUAGGUUGACCUCCCGCAGACUAGGAUCCAUGAAAUUUCAGAGGCUUGUGUGUGUCCUACCAGGUCACGUGUUCAUAGCAUGUCAUGAGCUGAAUGCUACAGUGUUACUCUAGAUGGAAUAUCAUUCCAGGUUUUGUUUUUUUGAGCAUUUAUAUAGCACAUAAUUAAAUGGGACUGGCUUUCAUGGUGCUAAAUCCUGUGCAAGGAUGCAAAAUCAAUUUCUCAAAGCUUUAAAAGUAUGUUAACCUGUGCAUUUUUGUAUACAGAUCCAGAUUUCAGCAUCCCUUUUUUUUCCUUUACUUGCAAUUAUAUAAUUACUGUACACCAACAUAUUACAUUAAAGGAAGGUAAAUCUUAUUUCAUUUGGAUUUCCCUUUCACAGCAGCAGUGUCACAGCUUCUAAAACAUUUUUCAUGUGAACACAAUGAGAAAAAUCAAAGUGUCAUGACACUAUUUUCAACUACUUUUAUUCUUAAAAGAAAAGGCUGCUGAUAAUUACAGACAGUGUGCAUGUAGGUGGUGAGAGUGAUCCAUUAAAACAUUUGUUAAUGUCAAAUCUUAGUUUUACAGGUUUUAUUGUAAAUGUCUUCAAUGUCAAUGUAUCUAUUUAAUUUAUUUGGAUAGAUCAUGGUUGCCACCUCCAAAGGGGCCAGAUAGCUAGCUUAAACAACCAUCUAUGGCUU
This is a long non-coding RNA of Mauremys mutica (yellowpond turtle), 1555 nucleotides long. RefSeq lists it as uncharacterized. The record is from RefSeq and is a predicted model, not a curated record. Lineage: Eukaryota; Metazoa; Chordata; Testudines; Geoemydidae. The transcript has 4 exons.